UAGAGUUUGAUCAUGGCUCAGAUUGAACGCUGGCGGCAUGCUUUACACAUGCAAGUCGAACGGCAGCGGGGGCUUCGGCCUGCCGGCGAGUGGCGAACGGGUGAGUAAUGCAUCGGAACGUGCCCAGUCGUGGGGGAUAACACAUCGAAAGAUGUGCUAAUACCGCAUACGUCCUGAGGGAGAAAGCGGGGGACCUUCGGGCCUCGCGCGAUUGGAGCGGCCGAUGUCAGAUUAGCUAGUAGGUGGGGUAAAGGCCCACCUAGGCGACGAUCUGUAGCGGGUCUGAGAGGAUGAUCCGCCACACUGGGACUGAGACACGGCCCAGACUCCUACGGGAGGCAGCAGUGGGGAAUUUUGGACAAUGGGGGCAACCCUGAUCCAGCCAUGCCGCGUGAGUGAAGAAGGCCUUCGGGUUGUAAAGCUCUUUCGGCCGGGAAGAAAUCGCGUCCUUUAAUAGAGGGUGUGGAUGACGGUACCGGACUAAGAAGCACCGGCUAACUACGUGCCAGCAGCCGCGGUAAU
This 522-nucleotide ribosomal RNA is filed under the name uncultured bacterium. Its description in RNAcentral is "bacterial SSU rRNA". It matches the Rfam family "Bacterial small subunit ribosomal RNA", at positions 1 to 524 of the family's 1533-position model. The record is from RNAcentral.